UAGGGAAUCUUCCGCAAUGGACGCAAGUCUGACGGAGCAACGCCGCGUGAGUGAAGAAGGAUUUCGGUUCGUAAAACUCUGUUGUUAGAGAAGAACAGCGCAUAGAGUAACUGUUAUGCGUGUGACGGUAUCUAACCAGAAAGCCACGGCUAACUACGUGCCAGCAGCCGCGGUAAUACGUAGGUGGCAAGCGUUGUCCGGAUUUAUUGGGCGUAAAGCGAGCGCAGGCGGUCAAUUAAGUCUGAUGUGAAAGCCCCCGGCUCAACCGGGGAGGGUCAUUGGAAACUGGUUGACUUGAGUGCAGAAGAGGAGAGUGGAAUUCCAUGUGUAGCGGUGAAAUGCGUAGAUAUAUGGAGGAACACCAGUGGCGAAGGCGACGCUCUGGUCUGUAACUGACGCUGAGGCUCGAAAGCGUGGGUAGCAAACAGG
This 429-nucleotide ribosomal RNA is filed under the name Bacteroidota bacterium. RNAcentral describes it as "Bacteroidetes bacterium partial 16S ribosomal RNA". It matches the Rfam family "Bacterial small subunit ribosomal RNA", at positions 355 to 776 of the family's 1533-position model. Lineage: Bacteria; Pseudomonadati; Bacteroidota. The record is from RNAcentral.